RNA transcript from Homo sapiens (human), 2663 nucleotides. It is a transcript of the gene named VPS51 subunit of GARP complex, with no coding region annotated. NCBI's taxonomy places the organism in Eukaryota, Metazoa, Chordata, Mammalia, Primates, Hominidae. The record is from RefSeq and is marked reviewed. The transcript has 10 exons.
CUUUCCAGCCUCACGCCCGUGGGCUGCAGUUGGAACGAUGGCGGCGGCAGCUGCCGCCGGGCCUAGCCCGGGGUCUGGACCUGGGGACUCCCCAGAAGGGCCCGAGGGGGAGGCUCCGGAGCGUCGGCGGAAGGCGCACGGGAUGCUGAAGCUUUACUACGGCCUCUCGGAAGGGGAGGCGGCGGGACGCCCCGCGGGGCCCGACCCCCUGGACCCGACUGAUCUGAACGGGGCGCACUUCGACCCGGAAGUUUACCUAGACAAGCUGCGUAGAGAGUGCCCUCUGGCCCAGUUGAUGGACAGUGAGACGGACAUGGUGCGGCAGAUCCGGGCUCUAGACAGCGACAUGCAGACCCUGGUCUAUGAGAACUACAACAAGUUCAUCUCAGCCACAGACACCAUCCGGAAGAUGAAGAACGAUUUCCGGAAGAUGGAGGAUGAGAUGGACCGGCUGGCCACCAACAUGGCAGUGAUCACCGACUUCAGCGCUCGCAUCAGCGCCACGCUGCAGGACCGCCACGAGCGCAUCACCAAGCUGGCAGGGGUCCACGCGCUGCUGCGGAAGCUGCAGUUCCUCUUUGAGCUGCCCUCGCGCCUCACCAAGUGCGUGGAACUGGGCGCCUAUGGGCAGGCGGUGCGCUACCAGGGCCGCGCGCAGGCCGUGCUGCAGCAGUACCAACACCUGCCCUCGUUCCGCGCCAUCCAGGACGACUGCCAGGUCAUCACGGCCCGCCUGGCCCAGCAGCUGCGGCAGCGCUUUAGGUGGAGGGCGGCUCAGGCGCCCCGGAGCAGGCAGAGUGCGUGGAGCUGCUGCUGGCCCUGGGCGAGCCUGCGGAGGAGCUGUGCGAGGAGUUCCUGGCGCACGCCCGCGGCCGGCUGGAGAAGGAGCUGAGAAACCUGGAGGCCGAGCUGGGGCCCUCACCUCCGGCUCCCGACGUGUUAGAGUUCACCGACCAUGGAGGCAGUGGCUUCGUGGGCGGCCUCUGCCAGGUGGCGGCGGCCUACCAGGAGCUGUUUGCGGCCCAGGGCCCAGCAGGUGCCGAGAAGCUGGCGGCCUUCGCCCGGCAGCUGGGCAGCCGCUAUUUUGCGCUGGUGGAGCGGCGGCUGGCGCAGGAGCAGGGUGGUGGUGACAACUCACUGCUGGUGCGGGCGCUGGACCGCUUCCACCGGCGCUUGCGGGCUCCCGGGGCCCUGCUGGCCGCUGCCGGGCUCGCAGACGCUGCCACGGAGAUCGUGGAACGAGUGGCCCGCGAGCGCCUGGGCCACCACCUGCAGGGUCUCCGGGCGGCCUUCCUGGGCUGCCUGACAGACGUCCGCCAGGCGCUGGCAGCACCUCGCGUGGCUGGGAAGGAGGGCCCUGGCCUGGCCGAGUUGCUGGCCAAUGUGGCCAGCUCCAUCCUGAGCCACAUUAAGGCCUCUCUGGCAGCAGUGCACCUUUUCACCGCCAAAGAGGUGUCCUUCUCCAACAAGCCCUACUUCCGGGGUGAGUUCUGCAGUCAGGGUGUCCGUGAGGGCCUCAUCGUGGGCUUCGUCCACUCUAUGUGCCAGACGGCUCAGAGCUUCUGCGACAGCCCUGGGGAGAAGGGGGGUGCCACACCACCUGCCCUGCUCCUGCUGCUCUCCCGCCUCUGCCUGGACUACGAGACGGCCACCAUCUCCUACAUCCUCACUCUCACUGAUGAACAGUUUCUGGUGCAGGAUCAGUUCCCAGUGACGCCCGUGAGCACGCUGUGUGCAGAGGCCAGGGAAACGGCGCGGCGGCUGCUGACCCACUACGUGAAGGUGCAGGGCCUGGUCAUAUCACAGAUGCUGCGCAAGAGCGUGGAGACUCGCGACUGGCUCAGCACUCUGGAGCCCCGGAAUGUGCGGGCCGUCAUGAAGCGGGUGGUGGAGGAUACCACCGCCAUCGACGUGCAGGUGGGGCUCCUGUACGAAGAGGGUGUUCGCAAGGCCCAGAGCAGCGACUCCAGCAAGAGGACUUUCUCCGUGUACAGCAGCUCUCGGCAGCAGGGCCGCUACGCCCCCAGCUAUACCCCCAGUGCCCCGAUGGACACCAACCUCUUGAGCAAUAUCCAGAAGCUAUUCUCUGAACGUAUUGAUGUGUUCAGCCCUGUGGAGUUCAACAAGGUGUCGGUGCUGACCGGCAUCAUCAAGAUCAGCCUGAAGACGCUGCUGGAGUGUGUGCGGCUGCGCACCUUUGGGCGCUUCGGGCUGCAGCAGGUGCAAGUGGACUGCCACUUUCUGCAGCUCUACCUGUGGCGUUUUGUGGCCGACGAAGAACUCGUGCACUUGCUGCUGGACGAAGUGGUGGCCUCUGCUGCCCUGCGCUGCCCAGACCCUGUGCCCAUGGAGCCCAGUGUGGUUGAGGUCAUCUGCGAGCGCGGCUAGGCGCAGCCGCUGCCAUGCACCGGUCUGUCCCUGCACCCCAUGGCACCCAGGAUCUGGUCUCGGUGGUCCUUCCCCGCAGGCAGGUGUCAGGACCGGCCUAAUAAACAUGUGUGGCCUCCUCCUCUCGCUUGCUGGGCGGGCCUUUCCGGGGGCGGGGUUUUGAAGCUGAGGCUUCUGAGGCGCCCGCGUCGGGUCCGCCCCCGAGCGCCGAUUGGCUGGUGUGCUGGGCCCAGCAUGGGCAGGGGGCGGUUCCACUUAAAAACCCUGGGACGAGA